Molecule: unclassified non-coding RNA, 210 nt
Filed under: plant metagenome
Description: partial contains small subunit ribosomal RNA, internal transcribed spacer 1, and 5.8S ribosomal RNA
Source: RNAcentral
UUUCCGUAGGUGAACCUGCGGAAGGAUCAUUCAUAAUAAAGUGUUUUAUGGCACUUUUUAAAAAUCCAUAUCCACCUUGUGUGCAAUGUUAGAUCUCGUCAAUCUGGCGAGAUUUUUAUACAUCAACUCAUUCUUUAACUAAUUUGUCUGAAAAAUAUUAUGAAUACUUAAUUCAAAAUACAACUUUCAACAACGGAUCUCUUGGCUCUC